RNAcentral lists this ribosomal RNA (404 nucleotides) under uncultured bacterium. RNAcentral's name for it is "bacterial SSU rRNA". It matches the Rfam family "Bacterial small subunit ribosomal RNA", at positions 355 to 776 of the family's 1533-position model. The record is from RNAcentral.
UGGGGAAUAUUGGACAAUGGGCGCAAGCCUGAUCCAGCAAUACCGCGUGAGUGAUGAAGGCCUUCGGGUUGUAAAGCUCUUUUAGUAGGGAAGAUAAUGACGGUACCUACAGAAAAAGCACCGGCUAACUUCGUGCCAGCAGCCGCGGUAAUACGAAGGGUGCUAGCGUUGUUCGGAAUCAUUGGGCGUAAAGCGUGCGUAGGCGGUAUGAUAAGUCGGUUGUGAAAGCCCAGGGCUUAACCCUGGAAUUGCAAUCGAUACUGUUAUGCUAGAGUAUGGUGGGGGAUAGUGGAAUUCCUAGUGUAGGGGUGAAAUCCGUAGAUAUUAGGAGGAACACCGGUGGCGAAAGCGACUAUCUACGCCAUUACUGACGCUGAGGUACGAAAGUGUGGGGAGCAAACAGG